Molecule: long non-coding RNA, 3112 nt
Organism: Corvus moneduloides (New Caledonian crow)
Lineage: Eukaryota; Metazoa; Chordata; Aves; Passeriformes; Corvidae
Source: Ensembl
AUGGCUCGUCCCCGACAGCGAGCGCUCGAUGGCGGGGCCGCCCCGCAGAGGCGGCCUGGCUCCUCGGCUGGCCAACGCCUUUCCCAGUCCACGAGGGCAGGGCGAAGAAGGCGCGGCUGGGUAGGAGGUCGGUCCUUACGCGCUGCCAGUCGCCGGUCUGCCUGUGCCACCGCUCUGCCCUCUCCGGGCCGGGCCGCGGGAGAGGAGAGGAUGUCGGAGCCUCGACGGCAUGUGGCACGACGGGCAAGGUGUCAGGGCGGAGCGGCGCUGCAGGGCCGAGGGCGCAGCGAAGGGCGGCGGGAGGGGCCCGCUCAGCCCCGCGGCAGAAGUACUGAAGUCCUAAAUCACCAAUUCUUCUAACUUUCUGGCCAUUGAUCCGCGGGCAUUCGUAGUUCAACAUCAAAGGUAAGAACAAAACAUUAUUCAAUCAUUCGAUAGCUGGCGGAAAACGUUAACUUCCAUGCUGCUGAGCUUUAUCAGAUUUUUUUUUUUUGGGGGGGGGGGGGAAGGAGAAAAGUUAGAUAGGGUUAUUUAAAAAGCAAACACAGAGUUCUCCAAACUUUGAGGCUCCUUUCUGAGAGGGAAGGCAGGAGACCUGGCUGGCGGCAGCCGCUGCGCUCUCUUCUCCGCAGCCUGCGCGUUCCCGGCACCGCCGCUCGCUCCUCCGAACGCUCCCGGAGCCCUGGCCCUGCGGGGCCCCCGGGCCCCCCGCCCUCGGCCUUCCGCUGUUCCCCGUAUCUUCUCUGGCUCCCCCAGACUUCAGCCGGCGAUGGGACCCGGCUCCCACCCGCGUUCACUGCAUGCUGUCCCAGGGAAAGGCUGGCACCGCGUCCAGACUUUGGCGGCGGGUCCCCCUGCCCCAGCCGAUGCGGGGAGAGACACGAGUGCUUCGGCCGAGGCGGGGAAAGCCGCACUUAGCACUGCUUUUCGGGGCCGGCCCGGAGGUCGGAUGUGGAACGAAGGGAUGAUUUCUCUUACCCUGCCCGGGGAUCCGCUGCUUUUCCCGGCACUAUUUUCAGGGGCGGCCCAGAGCUCGGGACACCCGAGCGCUCGGCGGGCGGGUGGGCUGUCACUGCCACUCGGAGGGCAGGAGGGGCGCAGCGGCAGCCGAUCUCCUGUGGGGACCUGACCCUCCUCCAAACCCCGAGUCAGCGCUGGGACGGCUGCAUGCAGGCUCGAGGCAGCCCCUGCUGCCCACCCUACUCUCCCCGGGCGCUCCCAGGACUAACGAAAACCUGUCGCCAGGGCUGCCCGGUGGCCGUGAUGCUCCCGCCGGUCCCCAGUGUUGCCCUGCCCGGGAUGGGGGGGCUCUGCUCCCCACUAACCCCCCCGUAGCCCCCUUUUUUUUGACCCUCCGGCGCCACCGUAAAAGGCAGAGCUCUUAAGGGAGCACGGCAGGGAGGGCGGCGCCGCGCAGGGAACCAGCCGCGGACGGGCGGCGGGGGAGGCGGAGGAGGGGGGUGUCGGGGCACUUUGGGUGCCCGCCGCCGCCACCUCCUUCCCCGCCGCCCGUCCGCCGCCCGCCCCCCGCGCCAGAAGGGAUUCCGUCGGUCCACCUUAACACGGGUCUCGUUCCACCGCCGGGCGGGCGGCGAGGGCUCAGCGGCGCGGGGCCGCCGGCUCAUUCCCCCGCGCCCCCCGGGCCGGGCAGGGGGCGCUGCGGGUCCUCGGGGCGCCCGCCGGGCAUGGCCCCGCCGGGAGACGCGCCCGCGCCGCCGCCGGCCCCAGGGAGCGGCGCGGUGCACCUUGCAUCAGAGAGAGAGAGCCUGUCUGCCGGGUGACCGCUCGCCGCCCCGGGACUGGUGAGGGGCUCGAUCCCGCCCCACUGCGACUUCCCGGCCGGAGCUUUGCCCGCACCAUUGGCUGCACUUAGGUAGCGCUGUCAUGCUCUACCCGGAGCUCCGCUAUUAAAUAAUUUAGCGGUGGCGGCAGCAGCUCUUCUCUGCCCGCUUGUCACCUUCUCCCGGCCCCCACCAUCAAUUAUUCAGGACCACCCCGGUAACUGCCUGGAGCCGGGCGCGGAGAACAGGGCGACGGCGGGGCCCUACCUGGGGCCGGUCGCUGGCUCUUGGCGGCCCGGAGGAAGCGCGACCGGCCCUCGGGGCGGUAGCCCCCCCUACACCGCGAAAAGUUAUUGUCGCCUCGCCCCGGCGGGGAGAGACUGCGGGAGGAUCCCUGCCGCCGCUCGGCUCCCAGGGGGACGGGGGUGGGGGGCGGGUGGCAGGAGGCGUCGAGGCCGCACGGGCUGCAUCGGACUAACCCGGGCGUCUGGACUGAGCGCCGGUAGCAGCUUUGCUCCUCGUCGGUCAGUUCGGCGUCCCCAACUCCGACUUCCCCACUAUCCCACACGCCCCCCCUCCCCCUCCGCCCUUCCUCGUCUCCCGGCUCCUCCUCUCGUUGCCUCUCGGCCCUCCCCCAGUCCGACUGCCCCUGCCCUUGCGCCUUUCUGCCCUGGGUCUCUCCUGUCACCACCGCGUCGUCCUGCCACGCUUCCCCUUCCCCACCCAGCCCACCCUACGCCCUCCCUUCGCGCGGCACCGCGCUCCUUCUUCGCGUGUGAGAUGUAUUAUUUAUUUAUUGGUGUUUAAUUUCCUGCCAGGUGGGUUUCUGCCUCCCACCCUUGCGCGCAGCGGGGCCGGGGCUCCGCGGGGCGGGCCGGGCCGGGAGGAGGUGGGCUGCUGCGCGCCCGUCUGUGCCCGAUUCCGAGGUAGCAGCGAGACUUGAUUUUUGCGGGGGGGCGGGGAGGGGGAGGGGUGUCAAGGCGAGGAGGGGUGGCGAUGUUUGGGAUGCACAGCCCUGGGACGGGAACGCCGCGCAGACAGACAGGCAGACACACACACAGAGGCAUGCACAUACACCAAACCCGAAAGCAAGGACAACCCCAGAAAGGACUCACUUUGCCUCGAUGACUCAACGCAACUAAUAACCGUUUCUCCGCUCUCUGUGGCGAGUCCCUCCUGCCGCUGCUGUCGCUGGCAGAGGAGGGAGCGAUUGAAAGUGACACACCGGGGGCCGCCGCCGCCACUUCCCCGCGCCGCCAGGCACUCGCCGCCGCCGCGGAGCUCGGGAGAGCGGCGCUCCCUCCUCUUCUCCUCCCCCUGUCUCCCCCGGU